AUUUGCUGUCACAUUCACACUCUGUUCUUCAGCAGUUAAACAUGUUUGCUGUAUUCAAAAACUAGCAAAGGUGAGUAAGAAUGAGAUGGAGGGAUCAUUUUCAUAGACACAUGCUGUAUAAUAUCUAUGUGUCUAUCAUUUUCUUCAGCUUGCAGGCUGCAGUGGAGUCAGCUGUGAAUGCUAUCGUGUCUUACAGGCAGUGCAACAUGCCAAAAGCAUCGACUGAGACAAACUGAGCCCUGACCAAAGCAGGUUCUGACAGUGGCGGUCACCAUGGAGGAGAGGGAGCGGCAGUCUAAUGGAGAGGAAAGAGGUGAUGUUGAAUCCCCCACAGGACAGUCAGUCACGGA
This 350-nucleotide long non-coding RNA is filed under the name Sinocyclocheilus anshuiensis. RNAcentral's name for it is "lncRNA (ENSSANG00000037599.1)". Lineage: Eukaryota; Metazoa; Chordata; Actinopteri; Cypriniformes; Cyprinidae. The record is from RNAcentral.